Molecule: ribosomal RNA, 483 nt
Filed under: Wagneriana roraima
Lineage: Eukaryota; Metazoa; Arthropoda; Arachnida; Araneae; Araneidae
Description: partial large subunit ribosomal RNA
Rfam family: Eukaryotic large subunit ribosomal RNA
Source: RNAcentral
CAACCGGUUCGGAAACGGCCUUAAGGGUCGGUAAUGGCAGUUGGCCGGUGGCUCGUCUCGUGCGGGUCGUCGGUUGUUAGCCGUCCGAUCUUGGCUCGUGGCCGGACCGUGGUGUCGCGAGGCCUUUAUAGGCUUCUUCGCCUCCUCCGUUCGCGGACGCCGGGAUCCCGUGGCAGGGGUUCGCACUUCUGCGGGCGCACGGACCGACUCCGUGGCCCAGCGGUCGCAUGCGGCUUCGUUGGCUGCGGUGAACCCGUCGGAGGUUGGCGGUUAGCGGGGAGUAGAUCGGUCACCCACCCGACCCGUCUUGAAACACGGACCAAGGAGUCUAACAUGUGUGCGAGUCAAUGGGUCUCGAAUAAGCCCAGAGGCGCAAUGAAAGCAAAGGCAGGACUCGACGCCUGCCGAGUUGGGAUCCUCCUUCCUUCGCGUGGGAGGCGCACCAACGACCCGUCCUGUCCCAUUUAUGGGUUGGGCGGAGUU